Molecule: long non-coding RNA, 1832 nt
Filed under: Marmota monax (woodchuck)
Lineage: Eukaryota; Metazoa; Chordata; Mammalia; Rodentia; Sciuridae
Source: RNAcentral
GUAGGAGGCCCACAGACCAACACAGAACAGGCGAGUGCAGAGGGGUGGCAUAAGGAAGCAACACUUGGUUUUCUUUGGGGGCCAGAGGCACAUUCCUGAAAGUGAUGAUGGCGGAGUUAGGUUUUCAAAACAAAGAAGAACUUCCCAGAAAGACAAGGGUUUCCUAUUCCCAAAUGAGGGAAGACUAUGCACAGAAGCAAGGAACCACACUAUCUUCUAUAGCAAAUAGUGAGUUUCCAGCCCAGAGUCCCUUUGAGAUUUUUAAUAAGGCAGGAAGAGCUUAUGUCCCCUACUCAGUUCUGUUUCAUCUCGGCAUGGGUUUGCUGGGAAAGGGUUGCAUCAACCUGACCGUUGUUUUCUUCCCUCGCCUGUGAAGGAUGCUGUCCAUUCUGCUGCAGGCUGGAGGACUAGCACCAAGUGCUGUAGAAACAGCCAUGCAGUCCAGACAAACCCGCAGGCCACGAGGGUGAGAGAGUAUUUUAUUUGGCUCUGCAUAAAAAUCGACUGAAAGUUUGGUAUCUGAUUGGAGAAAAUGAAUAUUCAUGAGCUCCAAGCUUUUAGACAAUGGAUUAGUUUCUAAUUGAGCCCUUGUGCUCAGAUAGGACACAGAAAAGGGAUAAGAGAAUGUGCACCAGUCUGCUUCACUGUGAGUGGCUGAUCUGAGCAGUAGAGAAGCGUCUGAGCCUGUUUCCGUGGGAAGGCAGGCAAGAGCUGGGGCAGAGAGGAAGAGGGGUCAGUGGUCACAGAGGGACAAACUUGGGUCCAAUGCCUCUGUGCACUGGUAGCUGGUAGCCAAUUGUGGUGUGGGAGAACCAUCCAUACCAUGUGACCUCCUCCCAAACUGCAAAAGGCAUUGCCAAGAGACUCUCUGACCCUGCUGCAGCCCAGAUCUGGGCUACACCAGAGCUUCCUGGCCCACAGCUGACCCAAGUUACUGCCCUACUUCAGCUACGUGAAAAUAACCCCCAUUGAAACUCCUACAGGUAACAUGAGUUUAUUCCUCUGAGUCUAAAGGACUUGGGAGGAUUUGGAUGAGGGGUUACAGGUUCUUAUAGUAGUAAGCCCACCAUAAAGCCCUGCCCCACACCACCAAAUCACAUAGGCCAAGCGUCAGAUCCUGUCCUCUGCUGGAUAAUUCUGUCCCUCACCCAUGGUGACGUGCCAGGGUGGUUAUUCAGAGGUUGUUUGGCACUGUUGUAACAGAGGGGCCAUGGCUCUUGUCAGCAUGGGAAGAAAUGCUAUCGAUCCACUUCUUUGGUUGCUGUGGAUCUAAAAGAACCAUUUACCCUAUGGCAUGAUUAACUUUUGAAAGUCAAAAGAUUAGAAAUAAGUUGAUUUUUCCAGGAUGCCGUGCUUGGAGACAGAAGGAGACACAGCCUAUCACAGGCCAGGACACCAUGCUUUCUCAUAAGUGUGAAUUUUACAUUUUAGGUCAAGAGAAAGAAAGCCCUUCUUGACUAUUCAACAGGUGAGGAAAUGUUUUCCCCUCACUCAUUUUACCCAUGUGGGUCUGCAGAGGCCCUCCAUUGGUUGGCACUGCUGCAGCUGACUCUGAGCAUGGAGGAAACAGGUCUUCUUAUAUCUUCUCUCAUCACUGAGCCCAAAUAAACCCUUGAUCUAAGACCAUAAAAUUCAAGGAGUCUGAGAAGAUAAGUCUGUGUUCUCCACACCCAUAGAAAGGACAGGGCAUCCAGGCUCUAAACCUGAUAGGACAUCAUAUCUGUCCCACAUUGAAAGGGGUGAUUUAAUACAAGCUCAUGAGUUGCCAUCUGUGCCCACUUCUCUGUGCACCACAACCUGAAAAAGCUUAUACACCAUAACAUACUUAGUCC